This is an RNA transcript of Mesocricetus auratus (golden hamster), 1694 nucleotides long. It is a transcript of the gene named pre-mRNA-splicing factor CWC22 homolog, with no coding region annotated. The record is from RefSeq and is a predicted model, not a curated record. The transcript is spliced from 7 exons. Lineage: Eukaryota; Metazoa; Chordata; Mammalia; Rodentia; Cricetidae.
CAGGAGCACCGCCUCCCAGGCACCGGUCACAGCCCCCCGGCCUCGGGAGCGGCUGCCUCAGCGCACCCGCCGCCCGCGUGCAGAGAAGUGUAGUGUCCAUGAUGGUCUAGCACCGUUACUUUGGGGAUUGUGGUGAGGAGCGUGUGGCAGAACAUCACCUUAUGGAAUCUGCAAAACAAAGAGAAAAGAGGAAUAGUUUCUCAGUGGAAGAUCUGAGAAGGAAUCUUCCAUGUCCAGAGCAGCACAACUCCAUGGAAGCAGACAAGGCUGCUGUCUCAGAGAAGCAGAAACAAUAGCAGAGCUGCAAGCUGAAGUCAUAGGAUACUUGACUGUGCACAUCAGUAUUUUUAAGCACUUAACAUGUGUCUUUUGAAAACAUGUUAGGCACUGUCACCACCAAUUACAGCAGGUUUGCAUGCUGAAAAAAGAAUAUAUGGAAGCAUUUGAAAAUAUAUUCAGAGAACAUUAUGAUACCAUCCAUCACUUAGAAACAAACAAACUGAGCAAUGUUGCUAAGAUGUUUGCUCAGCUUUUAUACACUGAUUCACUUCUAUGGAGUGUUCUUGAAUGUAUAAAGCUCAGUGAAGACACCACUACAUCGCCUAGUAGAAUUUUUAUCAAAAUAUUUUUCCAGGCACUGUGUGAAUACAUGAGUCUUGCUAAACUUAAUGCAAGGUUAAAGGAUAGAACUCUACAGCCAUUCUUUGAAGGACUGUUACCUCAAGAUAACCCAUGGAAUACCUGCUUUGCCAUCAACUUCUUCACUUCAAUGUAAGAGUCAUGUGCAGAGUUUUAGCUUCAGCUGACAAAAUUAUCUUAGAAGUACCUUAGAGGCAUAGGAUGAACUAUGAGAGCAUCUGAAAAAUACACCCAAGGUCAUCAUGACAAAGAGACCAGAAGCUGAGCAUAAGAAACCGCCCCUGGCCUCAUCAUCUUCAGAGUCCUCCUUGGAGUCCAAGUCCUCAGAGUCCGACUCUGAAAGAAAUUAGAGAAGCUCAGACUCUUCCAGUGAAGGGAGCGACUCCUCAUCCUCCAGCAGUCAGAGCUCUGCCUCAGGUAUCCAGGAUCCUCCAGACUUUAGCCUGCUCAUUUCUAACAAGUACAUGACUUGUAGUGUUCGUAAUGAGGGCAGUCUUAGUGUUCAUAAUGAGGGCUGGUCUGAAUUGCUGCUUAUUUAUUUUGGCUGUGUAUUUAAAACAUAUUUACUAAUAGAGAUGAUCAUCUGUCACUGACACAGUCUGCAGUGGGUUAUAUCUGUUUUAGAAGCCUCCUCAUAGACACAGCUAUGGUUCAAGCGAUGCUAGAAGAACCAUCAUGUGUGCGUUCUAGUUUAUAGGUGCCAUCCUGAUGCUCCAUUUUCAAGGCAUUAGGGUUUUAUUUGUAGUAAUCAAGCUUUAUGUAACUCAUGUCAGUCAUGGUUUGUCUUAUUUGCUGUACAGAGCUCUCCCCCUGAUGAAGAAGUACUGGCACUUCAGAACUCCUGUUUGUUCCUCUUGUGCUUGCUAGCCUCCAUCUGUCUUCAUGGCAGCUGCUGUUGUGAUUAGUAAUUCCAUUCGUUGGUCUUGCCUCUGUUGUUUUAUUGUGACAAGUUCUCACAACAUUGUGGGAACACCAGACCUUGAGCAGAGACCCACUUCCCCUUCUGCCUGGGAGUAGGCAGCUGUAAGACAAUGUUUAGUAAAAACAUGUUUACU